CUCAUGGUCCUGUCAAUCUGGAUCUGAAAUGUGUUGCUAGGUGAAGAUUCCAACUGCCUGGACAGAGGGCCAGUAUUUGAGUUUCUUCUCUGAAAAACACCCUGCUACUUACACCAAGGAAAUUAAUGCGGCUAAGGAAAACACACGACGGUGUAUUCAUCUCCUGUCUUUACAACAACCACCAACAGUAGCCAAUUCAGCUUAUAGUGUUGCUUCUCUGUGAUAGGCAAUUACUAACUAGGAACAUUCAUUUGCUCUUCUGGCAACCAAGGAGUUUGGACCCUUUUUGUCCUAAGGAAGAAAAGUGGCUAAGAGCAGAAUACCUGGAGCUGGCCCACUUCCACUGGAAUAUGGACUCCAGUGCUUAUAACUUUGGAUAAGGUUACCAUGCUUCAUCUGCCAAUGCAUUGAAAACUUUGAAUAUAAAUUAAUUCAACCACUGUAGAAGAUGGUGUGGUGAUUCCUCAAAGACCUAGAGGCAGAAAUACCAUUUGA
Macaca mulatta (Rhesus monkey) is the source of this 495-nucleotide non-coding RNA. NCBI's taxonomy places the organism in Eukaryota, Metazoa, Chordata, Mammalia, Primates, Cercopithecidae. The record is from RefSeq and is a predicted model, not a curated record.